Molecule: long non-coding RNA, 959 nt
Organism: Salvelinus fontinalis (brook trout)
Lineage: Eukaryota; Metazoa; Chordata; Actinopteri; Salmoniformes; Salmonidae
Exons: 2
Source: RefSeq, a predicted model, not a curated record
CUGAGUUGGGGGGGGUACUGUGUGUAUUAUACAGCUACUCACUGGUCCUGUAGGGUGUCUGAGUUGGGGUGGUACUGAGUGUCAGCCUUGAUGCAAAGUGAUCAAAUGUGAUGAAUAAAAAAGGAGAAUACGUUUGGGCUUCUAUGCCUAAUCAUCAGUGCUGUUUAUCACCUGUUAGCACUUUUCACUGGCACUUUUUGCAUCUCGGCCUCCUUGGUUUUUCCUUUGCAUGAUUUGUGGGUGAGUAGCUACGUAUUACAGACAGUAAGGGGCGCCAUAGGACAAAAAAAGGACAUUGUUACCAUAGCAGGAUCAUUAUUCAUUAGUGCAUACAUGAGCAAAACGUAGGCAAACAAUUUGCACUGGAAAACGAAAACGAGCGUUUCUUAUUGGACAACCUCAGGUAUUUUCCUGUGUUUGGUACCUAAUGAAUAGGCUGCAACCCGGCUCAGCUGCUGCAAAGAUGCCUGACAGAAAUACUAGGAUGGAAGCAAAUGGACUCCUGAAACAACCAGCAAACCAGGCUGUCGUCUUGUAAAACAGUGGAUGUAAAUAAUCUAGCUAGGUAAAGCAUUUACUGCAAAUUGAAUGUACAAUUUUGUAAGCUUGCCUUGUUGAAUACGUAACUAGCAAACUAUUUUCUUGUUUAUUGUGUAGUGGAGGAUAAAAAUACCUGUAUGCCUAUGAUGUGUAGCCGAUCUGUGUAUGGACCCAAACGUUUGGUAUACAUAUUAGUUCAGAACCUAGCUAUGAACCUCAGCUAUCAUAGCCGGUUGUAUCAACUUCAAAACAGUCUGACUGGCAUCAAUGAAGCCUAUGGAUUGAGUAUAAUAUAAUAUAACUUUGUGCCAAGGAUGCAAGUUAUUACCAAGCAUGAUAUCCCCACAUUGUAGCCUGUACAUUGAAUAUAUUCACGGAUCAUGUACUCUACCUUGGCAAAUAAAGCUGCGGUUCAGGUA